This 484-nucleotide ribosomal RNA is filed under the name uncultured bacterium. RNAcentral's name for it is "partial 16S ribosomal RNA". It matches the Rfam family "Bacterial small subunit ribosomal RNA", at positions 29 to 507 of the family's 1533-position model. The record is from RNAcentral.
AUUGAACGCUGGCGGCAUGCUUUACACAUGCAAGUCGAACGGCAGCGCGGGCUUCGGCCUGGCGGCGAGUGGCGAACGGGUGAGUAAUGCAUCGGAACGUGCCCAGUAGUGGGGGAUAGCCCGGCGAAAGCCGGAUUAAUACCGCAUACGACCUGAGGGUGAAAGCGGGGGACCGAAAGGCCUCGCGCUAUUGGAGCGGCCGAUGUCGGAUUAGCUAGUUGGUGGGGUAAAGGCUUACCAAGGCGACGAUCCGUAGCUGGUCUGAGAGGACGACCAGCCACAAUGGGAAUGAGAAACCGCCCAGACUUCUAAGGGGAGGAGGAGUGGGGAAUUUUGGAACAUUGGGGGCAACCUGAUCCCGGCCAGGCGGGGGGGGGAAGAAGGCCUUCCGGGUUGAAAACCGUUUUGUUUGGGAAGAAAACCUCUGGGCUUAAAACCCGGGGGGAUGACGGUACCGGAAGAAUAAGCACCGGCUAACUACGUG